AAUUAAUGAACUUGUAUAAGUAUAUAUUUUGAAAAUAUAAAAAAGGAAUACUACUUCCUAUUAAUUU
This 67-nucleotide transfer RNA is filed under the name Drilaster sp. BMNH 840462. Its description in RNAcentral is "tRNA-Ser". The record is from RNAcentral. Lineage: Eukaryota; Metazoa; Arthropoda; Insecta; Coleoptera; Lampyridae.